AUUGAACGCUGGCGGCAUGCUUUACACAUGCAAGUCGAACGGCAGCGCGUUCUUCGUCCUUGCUGCGAGUGGCGAACGGGUGAGUAAUACAUCGGAACGUGCCCCGUAGUGGGGGAUAGCUCGGCGAAAGCCGGGUUAAUACCGCAUACGACCUGAGGGUGAAAGCGGGGGAUCUUCGGACCUCUCGCUAUUUGAGCGGCCGAUGGCAGAUUAGCUAGUUGGUGGGGUAAAGGCCUACCAAGGCGACGAUCUGUAGCUGGUCUGAGAGGACGACCAGCCACACUGGGACUGAGACACGGCCCAGACUCCUACGGGAGGCAGCAGUGGGGAAUUUUGGACAAUGGGCGAAAGCCUGCUCCAGCAAUGCCGCGUGUGUGAUGAAGGCCUUCGGGUUGUAAAGCACUUUUGGCGGGAACGAAAAGGACUGUGCCAAUACCACGGUUCGAUGACGGUACCAGCAGAAUAAGCACCGGCUAACUACGUG
Molecule: ribosomal RNA, 484 nt
Filed under: uncultured bacterium
Lineage: Bacteria
Description: partial 16S ribosomal RNA
Rfam family: Bacterial small subunit ribosomal RNA
Source: RNAcentral